UACGGGGGGAGCAAGCGUUGUUCGGAUUUACUGGGCGUAAAGGGCGCGUAGGCGGCCUCCGCAAGUCAGUUGUGAAAUCUCCGAGCUUAACUCGGAAGGGUCAACUGAUACUGCGGGGCUAGAGUGCGGAAGGGGCAACUGGAAUUCUUGGUGUAGCGGUGAAAUGCGUAGAUAUCAAGAGGAACACCUGCGGCGAAGGCGGGUUGCUGGGCCGACACUGACGCUGAGGCGCGAAAGCCAGGGGAGCGAACGGG
RNAcentral lists this ribosomal RNA (254 nucleotides) under uncultured bacterium. RNAcentral describes it as "partial 16S ribosomal RNA". It matches the Rfam family "Bacterial small subunit ribosomal RNA", at positions 524 to 776 of the family's 1533-position model. The record is from RNAcentral.